AGCGAACGCUGGCGGCAGGCCUAACACAUGCAAGUCGAACGAACCUUUCGGGGUUAGUGGCGGGCGGGUGAGUAACACGUGGGAACGUGCCUUUAGGUUCGGAAUAACUCAGGGAAACUUGUGCUAAUACCGAAUGUGCCCUUCGGGAGAAAGAUUUAUCGCCUUUAGAGCGGCCCGCGUCUGAUUAGCUAGUUGGUUGAGGUAAUGGCUCACCAAGGCGACGAUCAGUAGCUGGUCUGAGAGGAUGAUCAGCCACAUUGGGACUGAGACACGGCCCAAACUCCUACGGGAGGCAGCAGUGGGGAAUCUUGCGCAAUGGGCGAAAGCCUGACGCAGCCAUGCCGCGUGAAUGAUGAAGGUCUUAGGAUUGUAAAAUUCUUUCACCGGGGACGAUAAUGACGGUACCCGGAGAAGAAGCCCCGGCUAACUUCGUG
RNAcentral lists this ribosomal RNA (434 nucleotides) under uncultured bacterium. RNAcentral's name for it is "partial 16S ribosomal RNA". It matches the Rfam family "Bacterial small subunit ribosomal RNA", at positions 29 to 507 of the family's 1533-position model. The record is from RNAcentral.